CAACUUUCAGCAGUGGAUGUCUAGGCUCGC
Molecule: ribosomal RNA, 30 nt
Filed under: Bremia lactucae (lettuce downy mildew)
Lineage: Eukaryota; Oomycota; Peronosporomycetes; Peronosporales; Peronosporaceae
Also listed under: 2 other names
Description: partial 5.8S ribosomal RNA
Source: RNAcentral